RNAcentral lists this long non-coding RNA (2773 nucleotides) under Homo sapiens (human). RNAcentral's name for it is "HSALNT0302985". The record is from RNAcentral. Lineage: Eukaryota; Metazoa; Chordata; Mammalia; Primates; Hominidae.
UGUAUUUAUAGACUUUUUUUGCCUAUAUAAACAUAUAUAAACAUUUUUAACAUUAAAAGUAAGUAAUACUAUUAAUAUUACUUCAUGACUUGCUUUUUUUCUAUUGGACAGAUGUUAGGUAUCUUUUUCCAUGUAAGUACUAUAAAUGAAAACCGAUUGAAGCCUCUUUAGUGGCUGUAUUGUAUUUAAUUGAAUGGAAAUACCUAAUUAAUGUAACUAGUCUCCUAUUGAGGCAUAUUUACGUGUCAAUUUUAGAUAUAAUAAAUAGCAUUGCAACAUUUACACCAGUGCACGUUUGAGGAUGUGUGCCGCCACUACCUAAAAUGGAAAUUACAAGAUCAAAGGAUGUGAAUAUUUUGGAUGAUCUACACUUGAAGUUCUUAAAACUAGGUGGAAUAAAUUGCCUUGUGACUGUCAGACUAUAAAGUCAGUACACUAUGGAUUAAAGCAGAAAUUCAUGAAGCCAUCCUCAAAAGAGUUGGAAUAGAUCUUAAUAUGAUUAAAGACACAAACGUAUCACACUGAGCGAUAUGUCACUCAGAAAAGGGUUCGUCAACAAUGGAAGCAUGAAAAACAGAGAGUAAGAGAAGCAAACACAGCAUGACCUUGUCCAAGGAAGAGAAAAAUGUGGCUCUCAACCAUGUGAUUAAACUGGUCUUUUUUAUUAUUAUUAUUAUUAUUAUUAUUAUUUUACAGUGGAGAAGGAAGCAUCAAACUUUUAUAGCUUGACGACACUUCAACUGACUCUUCCCACACACUAAGCUACCUUCUGAAGAUUAUUCCUCUUACUCUCUGUUUUCCAUGCUUCCAUUGCUGAUCAACCAUUUUCUGAGUGAUAUAUCGCUCAGUGUGGUAUGUUUGUAUGUUUAAUCAUAUUAAGACCUAUUCUGACUCUUUUGAGGAUGGCUUCAUGUAUAUCUGCUUUAACCCAUAGUGUACUGAUUUUAUAGUCCGACACUCAUAAGGCAAUUUAUUCCACCUAGUGUAAGUACAGUUCUAUGGUAAGGAACAGUUAGAAGUGAACUAUGUAGGGCUCCAUGUAUACACAGGUAUAUAGCUCCUAAAUGUAAUGUUGAGUGGAAAAGUUGCUAAAGGGUACACACACUAUGAUACUUUAUAUAUAAUGCCUGAAAACCUGCAAUAUCAUUGAUCACUCAGGGAUAUUUAUGUAUUUUAUCAAAGCAUGAAGACAUACCUGAAAAUGAUAAACAUAAAAUUCAGGAUGAUGGUUUUCAUUGGCAGUGGAUCAAAGAGGGAAGUGUAAUCACAGAAAGGUUACACAAGAGGCUUUAUAAAGUUUUACAUGUUUAGACUUGAUGGUAGAUACAUGGAUGUUCCUCGUAUUACUCUCUGGGCCUUUUUGCUCUUUUGAAUGUUUUCAUAAAGAAAGAAUAAACAAUAAGAAGGUUUAGUCUGGCAGGAGCAUAGGAUGUGAGGCGGCCAUUGGAAGAGGUAUGGUAGAGCGGGGCAGGGUCAGCUCAGAAGGACCGUGCAGUAGCUUUGCACCUGAAGAUCCCGAGAGGCCCCUGAGGAGGUUUAGCGGUGGUGUGGAGACUGUCUUGGAGGCGGGGUGACGAGUCAGAUGGAUGCUGCACGACUCAAGUGGGAGACAACAGUGAGUGGGCUACACUCGGAAUACAGAAGAAAGGACAGAGUGAAACUGUCAGCUCAUGUUGCCUCAGUGCUUCCUCCUUUCUUUCUCAGGCUCCUUUGCCAAGUGGCUUCUGGAGAACUUCCGCUAAUGGGAGGCACUGUGAGAGGAUGGAGCGGGGAACGAAGAAGCCUGGGUAUUCCUUCCUCUCCCCAUUUCUCUGCUUCCAGUGGCCUCUCCAACAGGGACUGUGCCUCCUUCACAUCCACCUCCCGUGAGACAGCUCCUCUGCCGGUGCAGCCAGUUCUCACCAGGGAGCCCUGGCUUCUGGGCACGGGUAAUAAGUUUGUCCCAUCAGCCUAGAGCAGGUGACAACUUCCAAUUGUUGCUGAUGCCUGGGUCACAUCAUUGACCCCUGCUCUGCAUCUCAGCUCUUCCAACACCCUGGUAGCUGGUUCUCUGUGUUAAAUCUCCCGUUGAUCUCUGUCUGGACCCUGACUGAGACAUACACUUUUUGGAUGCUUUAUAUUUUGUCUUCUGUGGGAAACAGAGGCAUGGUGGCUAAAUGAGCAGGGCUGUGGCCUCACAAGUACUAAGGCAGCUAGAGGCUACUAGAGGCACCUGAAGCUCUGACUGAGGUACUUUCUUCACAAAUGGUGGAAACUCCUGAGAAGACAUGGCUUCUUCCAUGGAUAUCAAUGACUGCCAUCAGGCCAGCCAGGCAGACUCAGUCAUCAAUUGGGCCCACCAUUAAAAUCAGCUUUCCUGUUUGAGGAGACGCUAAUUCUUCUUUGGAAGGACACAGCAGCAGUGGGGAAUCAGGUUCUGAAAUCUAGCCAUGCCACCAAUACCUGCAGAAACAUUCUGGAUGGAACAGGCUUGCCCAGACCCUCCUCUCCAGAAGCUGGGCCCUUUAUGUUCCAUCUCUGAGUGAGUGGCAGCAAGGACCAGUGCGAUCAAAAAGGAGAAAGUGGAAUGCGACAUCACCCCCAAGGAGAGGAAGACCAUGGGCCAAGAGCUUCAGGGUGACCCAGUCAUAGGCCCGGGAGAGACAGAUCUGCACUAGAUGCUGUGCAGAGCCCUGACACCCAGAGCAGAUGCUGCUGCUGCGAUGAGUCUGGGGAUCAGGUGUUCAGAACCGCUGCUCGAGUGGUCCACUGCCCAGUGGGAGGAAGUGCUCUG